Molecule: ribosomal RNA, 500 nt
Filed under: uncultured bacterium
Lineage: Bacteria
Description: partial 16S ribosomal RNA
Rfam family: Bacterial small subunit ribosomal RNA
Source: RNAcentral
AUUGAACGCUGGCGGCAUGCCUUACACAUGCAAGUCGAACGGCAGCGCGGGAGCAGUCCUGGCGGCGAGUGGCGAACGGGUGAGUAAUAUAUCGGAACGUGCCCAGUAGCGGGGGAUAACGCAGCGAAAGCUGUGUUAAUACCGCAUACGCACUACGGUGGAAAGAGGGGGAUCGCAAGACCUCUCACUAUUGGAGCGGCCGAUAUCAGAUUAGCUUGUUGGCGGGGUAAAAGCCCACCAAGGCGACGAUCUGUAGCUGGUUUGAGAGAACGACCAGCCACACUGGGACUGAGACACGGCCCAGACUCCUACGGGAGGCAGCAGUGGGGAAUUUUGGACAAUGGGCGCAAGCCUGAUCCAGCCAUGCCGCGUGCGGGAAGAAGGCCUUCGGGUUGUAAACCGCUUUUGUUCGGGAAGAAAUUGACUGGGCUAAUACCCUGGUCGGAUGACGGUACCGGAAGAAUAAGCACCGGCUAACUACGUGCCAGCAGCCGCGGUAA